RNAcentral lists this ribosomal RNA (457 nucleotides) under uncultured bacterium. Its description in RNAcentral is "partial 16S ribosomal RNA". It matches the Rfam family "Bacterial small subunit ribosomal RNA", at positions 340 to 795 of the family's 1533-position model. The record is from RNAcentral.
CCCGGGAGGCAGCAGUGAGGAAUAUUGGUCAAUGGGCGGAAGCCUGAACCAGCCAAGUAGCGUGAGGGAUGAAGGUACAGAGUAUCGUAAACCUCUUUUGUCAGGGAACAAAGGCGGGGACGUGUCCCCGGAUGAGUGUACCUGAAGAAAAAGCAUCGGCUAACUCCGUGCCAGCAGCCGCGGUAAUACGGAGGAUGCGAGCGUUAUCCGGAUUUAUUGGGUUUAAAGGGUGCGCAGGCGGUCUGUUAAGUCAGCGGUCAAAGCCCGGGGCUCAACCCCGGCCCGCCGUUGAAACUGGCAGUCGCGAGUUGGAGAGAAGUAUGCGGAAUGCGCGGUGUAGCGGUGAAAUGCAUAGAUAUCGCGCAGAACUCCGAUUGCGAAGGCAGCAUGCCGGCUCCACACUGACGCUGAGGCACGAAAGCGUGGGUAUCGAACAGGAUUAGAUACCCCUGUAGUC